AUGUUCUCAACCUUAUUGGUUUCUCGAUCAAGGAAGGCUUGGACUUUGGGGGUUUUUUCAUUGCUGGCCUCCCUUGAAGCCAGCUCCUCCUAAAUGUAUUAGUGGGGUCUGCUUUGCCGAUCCUUGACGUGAUAAGAUGCUUCUACGUCUUGGGUUUCGCACUGUCGCUUUGGACCCUGCUUCUAACCGUCUUGCAUUCAGGACAGAGUCAUGAA
RNAcentral lists this unclassified non-coding RNA (215 nucleotides) under uncultured Russula. RNAcentral describes it as "sequence contains ITS2". Lineage: Eukaryota; Fungi; Basidiomycota; Agaricomycetes; Russulales; Russulaceae. The record is from RNAcentral.